CAGCAGUAUCUUCCAUCAGAACCCCAAAUCGGCAACGAAUAUGUCCUUUAGACUUUGCUAGAAAUGGCCGAACACUAAAAAAUAGGUGGAAAACCAGCUUAAGCUGGUUGUACUUUUAAGUUCGUUCAAUUCACACAGGCAGGGUGAUUGAGGUGCGUGCUUCGCAAGUUUUUUACUUUCUUCACACAACAAAACAAAGGCAUGAUAGUACUGUACUCAACUGCUCGUGCCGUAUGGCUCUUCUACAUUAUAUAAUCUAUAAUAUGUUCAUUCAUACCAAUAUACCUGCUAAAAAAAACCAAUAAAUUUUCAACCCCUCUCACAGUCAUCAAACCUGCAACACCAAAUUCCUCUCCGCCCUCUGCUCGGAAACCCAUAAAUUUUCAACCCCUCUCACAGUCAUCAAACCUGCAACACCAAAUUCC
Molecule: long non-coding RNA, 425 nt
Filed under: Nicotiana benthamiana
Lineage: Eukaryota; Viridiplantae; Streptophyta; Magnoliopsida; Solanales; Solanaceae
Description: long non-coding RNA (NBEN_LNC038370)
Source: RNAcentral